GAGCUGAAUGCGCUCGUAAAACAGAUUCAAAAAAACUAACUGCAAACGACGAACGUUUCGCACUCGCUGCUUAAACACCAGUGAGCCUUACAACAGCAGGCCGAUGGGCUGGGCAAGGGGUCUUUAGCGCAAGCUAGGGGUUCCAGGCUGUAAGGUCAUACACAUCGGCUGGCGCUGAACCGGGUACCUUGGUUUGGAGCAAGACAAUAGGGUACUGGCGACUGUGAAAGCGUGUGGCUGCGCGUUCACAAGGGCGAGACUCAAAUCAGACCACUAAACAUGUAGAUCUGCCCGAACAAGGCUUGCGGACGGGGGUUCAAAUCCCCCCAGCUCCACCA
RNAcentral lists this transfer-messenger RNA (338 nucleotides) under Burkholderiaceae bacterium. RNAcentral describes it as "partial transfer-messenger RNA". It matches the Rfam family "transfer-messenger RNA", at positions 52 to 374 of the family's 374-position model. From Rfam's summary of the family: Bacterial tmRNA, also known as 10Sa RNA or SsrA, is named for its dual tRNA and mRNA-like properties. Its role is to liberate the mRNA from a stalled ribosome. The record is from RNAcentral. Lineage: Bacteria; Pseudomonadati; Pseudomonadota; Betaproteobacteria; Burkholderiales; Burkholderiaceae.